RNAcentral lists this ribosomal RNA (429 nucleotides) under Chloroflexota bacterium. RNAcentral's name for it is "Chloroflexi bacterium partial 16S ribosomal RNA". It matches the Rfam family "Bacterial small subunit ribosomal RNA", at positions 355 to 776 of the family's 1533-position model. The record is from RNAcentral. Lineage: Bacteria; Bacillati; Chloroflexota.
UGGGGAAUAUUGCACAAUGGGCGCAAGCCUGAUGCCGCCAUGCCGCGUGUGUGAAGAAGGCCUUCGGGUUGUAAAGCACUUUCAGCGGGGAGGAAGGCGAUCAGGUUAAUAACCUUGUCGAUUGACGUUACCCGCAGAAGAAGCACCGGCUAACUCCGUGCCAGCAGCCGCGGUAAUACGGAGGGUGCACGCGUUAAUCGGAAUUACUGGGCGUAAAGCGCACGCAGGCGGUCUGUCAAGUCGGAUGUGAAAUCCCCGGGCUUAACCUGGGAACUGCAUUCGAAACUGGCAGGCUAGAGUCUUGUAGAGGGGGGUAGAAUUCCAGGUGUAGCGGUGAAAUGCGUAGAGAUCUGGAGGAAUACCGGUGGCGAAGGCGGCCCCCUGGACAAAGACUGACGCUCAGGUGCGAAAGCGUGGGGAGCAAACAGG